RNAcentral lists this long non-coding RNA (250 nucleotides) under Eucalyptus grandis. Its description in RNAcentral is "long non-coding RNA (EGRA_LNC003950)". Lineage: Eukaryota; Viridiplantae; Streptophyta; Magnoliopsida; Myrtales; Myrtaceae. The record is from RNAcentral.
AGAAAGAAAAAAAAGGAAGAAAAAGAAAAGAGAAAAUAAAAAUAAAAAAAUUAUAAUUUGGAUUUUUAUAAAGUUGAAGAGAGAAGGGAGGAAUUAUAAUGUUUUUGUUAAAGAUGAGUUUUCAACCCAACCCAUUUAAAAACCCACUUAAGACCCACCUAUCUUAAACCUAUAAUUGUGAAACCCAUUUAACUAUCUUUUGUUAUAAACAAGUGACCCAUUUAUGACCCAUUUAAGAUUUAAAUGGGUC